Molecule: ribosomal RNA, 253 nt
Filed under: uncultured bacterium
Lineage: Bacteria
Description: partial 16S ribosomal RNA
Rfam family: Bacterial small subunit ribosomal RNA
Source: RNAcentral
UACGGGGGGGGCAAGCGUUGUUCGGAAUUACUGGGCGUAAAGAGUGUGUAGGCGGUGCUCUAAGUUCGGUGUGAAAUCUCCUGGCUCAACUGGGAGGGUGCGCCGGAAACUGGAGUGCUUGAGCGUGGGAGAGGAAAGCGGAAUUCCUGGUGUAGCGGUGAAAUGCGUAGAUAUCAGGAGGAACACCUGUGGUGUAGACGGCUUUCUGGACCAUAGCUGACGCUGAGACACGAAAGCGUGGGUAGCAAACAGG